UAGGGAAUCUUCCACAAUGGACGCAAGUCUGAUGGAGCAACGCCGCGUGAGUGAAGAAGGUUUUCGGAUCGUAAAGCUCUGUUGUUGGUGAAGAAGGAUAGAGGUAGUAACUGGCCUUUAUUUGACGGUAAUCAACCAGAAAGUCACGGCUAACUACGUGCCAGCAGCCGCGGUAAUACGUAGGUGGCAAGCGUUGUCCGGAUUUAUUGGGCGUAAAGCGAGCGCAGGCGGAAGAAUAAGUCUGAUGUGCAAGCCCUCGGCUUAACCGAGGGACUGCAUCGGAAACUGUUUUUCUUGAGUGCAUAAGAGGAGAGUGGAAUUCCAUGUGUAGCGGUGGAAUGCGUAGAUAUAUGGAAGAACACCAGUAGCGAAGGCGACUCUCUGGUCUGCAACUGACGCUGAGGCUCGAAAGCAUGGGUAGCGAACAGG
Molecule: ribosomal RNA, 429 nt
Filed under: bacterium
Lineage: Bacteria
Description: partial 16S ribosomal RNA
Rfam family: Bacterial small subunit ribosomal RNA
Source: RNAcentral